AUCAUGAGCCUGCGUGACCCCGGAGCAGCGCUGGUGUAUGCAGCUCUCUGCCAGCCUGCAUGAUGACCAGCUCAAAUAUCACAGCCAGCAGCCCGGCAGUCUCUUAACAGAAAGAUAUAAAAUUUUGCCUUUCUCCCAGAUUCAGGAGCAAAUCUGAAUCCCCACAAGCUUUAACCAGGAGAUUGGGUGUAUCUGGAAAGACACGUGAAAAACUUGAAAGAAAUCUGUAAACUCAAAGAUGUGAAUCCUCCGAGUUUAAGAAACUACAGAAGAGCUUGGCAAGAAGGAGCGUGAGCAGUCUACCUUAAUGGAUAUGAAGCAAACGGUUCUUUAUCUUCCGUGGGAUAGAGUGACAAGCGCGGUCCUAUGGGAACAUAGCCUUUAGCACCAUUACAGCUAGACUGUUUGCUUAGUCUCUUGUAGGAAGAGUUUAUGUGAUGCCUUGUAACUCAACUGUAGUGUUAUAUUGUUAUCAGCUGUAAUGUCAUUUUAUUAUGAAAGGUGAGUUAAUCAUAAUAAAGCUGAAAUUUCAUAGUUAGUACAUUCUGUGCGAAGCAAGGUCGUAGCUAUAAGUCUCAAAAACAUGUUAUUAGACAGUCUCUGUGUGUUUAGACUCCUCCUGAAGGACACAUAGGGGGAUGUCAGCCUGAGAGGAGUUAUGAGAAGAGAUGCAUUAUUGUUUUGAAAUAUGUAUCAAGUAUUCAUGCAAGUACCUUUAUCUAUAUAAUGCCCUGCUGAAUAAAGUAGAGCUAGUCUCAUUUUGCUGAACAUAA
Molecule: long non-coding RNA, 773 nt
Organism: Pseudophryne corroboree (corroboree frog)
Lineage: Eukaryota; Metazoa; Chordata; Amphibia; Anura; Myobatrachidae
Exons: 3
Source: RefSeq, a predicted model, not a curated record